GAGAACGUUUCGUAUGAUAUAGGUCCAUA
Molecule: non-coding RNA, 29 nt
Filed under: Homo sapiens (human)
Lineage: Eukaryota; Metazoa; Chordata; Mammalia; Primates; Hominidae
Source: RNAcentral